AUACGUAGGGUGCAAGCGUUAAUCGGAAUUACUGGGCGUAAAGCGUGCGCAGGCGGUUUUGUAAAACAGAGGUGAAAUCCCCGGGCUCCACCUGGGAACUGCCUUUGUAACUGCAAGGCUAGAGUACGGCAGAGGGGGAUGGAAUUCCGCGUGGAGCAGUGAAAUGCGUAGAUAUGCGGAGGAACACCGAUGGCGAAGGCAAUCCCCUGGGCCUGUACUGACGCUCAUGCACGAAAGCGUGGGGAGCAAACAGGAUUAGAUACCCUGGUAGUCCACGCCCUAAACGAUGUCAACUGGUUGUUGGGUCUUCAUUGACUCAGUAACGAAGCUAACGCGUGAAGUUGACCGCCUGGGGAGUACGGCCGCAAGGUUGAAACUCAAAUGAAUUGGCGGGG
This 395-nucleotide ribosomal RNA is filed under the name uncultured bacterium. RNAcentral describes it as "partial 16S ribosomal RNA". It matches the Rfam family "Bacterial small subunit ribosomal RNA", at positions 523 to 918 of the family's 1533-position model. The record is from RNAcentral.